UGCCUCUGGUCAUAAAUAGCAAGACACUGAUGGAGGAGCCAUCCAGCUCAUGCUGCGAUUGUUCCAGCUUUCCGUACUAAGAAAUCACUGACUGUCAGGAAACGGAAGUGGACUGUGUGCCAGAGAUGGAAGUUGUUAUUUGAAUGUGCCAUGUGUGGUUAAACUGAGCUGACUCCGAAUGUGCUUCAUGCAAUUAAACUGAUCAGAGCAGUUUAUCUUUGCUUGUCAACUCUAUAUUAGUUGACAGACGAUCGCCGAGGCUCUCUGUCGCAGCUGUGUGCCUGAUCAACAAGCCAAAUAUUUCGAGUCUGCUUGCUAACGUGUCUGAAGAGAAGAUAUCAGUGAUGGUGGACCUGCUGAUGGUGGACCAAUGCGGUGAGACAUACCUGUUCCAUAUAACCAUGUGAAAGUAGUAAAUCCUUUCACCUUGAUGAGGCACUGUGAUCAACGGCCUAGCGCAAGCAUGCCAUAGCUCCUUGUAUAAUGUGUCGCUAGAACUCCCUGCACAAAAGAUUCAUUAUGUGAACUAGGCAUAAAAUUCAAGGGCCUUUCACCUUAAUAUAUAAUGGCAGAU
Molecule: long non-coding RNA, 574 nt
Organism: Triticum aestivum (bread wheat)
Lineage: Eukaryota; Viridiplantae; Streptophyta; Magnoliopsida; Poales; Poaceae
Exons: 3
Source: RefSeq, a predicted model, not a curated record